This is a non-coding RNA of Acanthosepion pharaonis, 112 nucleotides long. The record is from the annotation of a GenBank genome assembly. NCBI's taxonomy places the organism in Eukaryota, Metazoa, Mollusca, Cephalopoda, Sepiida, Sepiidae.
UUACGGCCAUAUCACGUUGAAACACCGAUAGCCGUACGAUCAUAGAAGUUAAGCAACGUCGAGACUAGUCAGUACCCAGAUGGCUGAGCGUUUUGGAAUACCAGGUGCUGUG